RNAcentral lists this ribosomal RNA (530 nucleotides) under uncultured sulfate-reducing bacterium. RNAcentral's name for it is "bacterial SSU rRNA". It matches the Rfam family "Bacterial small subunit ribosomal RNA", at positions 345 to 866 of the family's 1533-position model. The record is from RNAcentral.
GAGGCAGCAGUGAGGAAUUUUGCGCAAUGGGGGCAACCCUGACGCAGCGACGCCGCGUGAGUGAGGAAGGCCUUCGGGUCGUAAAGCUCUGUCAAAGGGAAAGAAGUGCAUGGUGGCUAAUACCUGCCAUGUUUGACGGUACCCUUAAAGGAAGCACCGGCUAACUCCGUGCCAGCAGCCGCGGUAAUACGGAGGGUGCAAGCGUUGUUCGGAAUCACUGGGCGUAAAGGGCGCGUAGGCGGUUUGAUAAGUCAGAUGUGAAAGCCCACAGCUUAACUGUGGAAGUGCAUUUGAAACUGUCAGACUUGAGUAUCAGAGGGGAAAGUGGAAUUCCCGGUGUAGAGGUGAAAUUCGUAGAUAUCGGGAGGAAUACCGGUGGCGAAGGCGACUUUCUGGCUGAAUACUGACGCUGAGGCGCGAAAGCGUGGGGAGCAAACAGGAUUAGAUACCCUGGUAGUCCACGCCGUAAACGAUGUCAACUAGAUGUAGGGGGUGUUGAUCCCCUCUGUGUCGCAGCUAACGCAUAAGUU